GGGAAGAUAGCGAAGUGGCUAAACGCGGCAGACUGUAAAUCUGCUCCUUCGGGUUCGGUGGUUCGAAUCCACCUCUUCCCACCA
Molecule: transfer RNA, 84 nt
Filed under: Bacilli bacterium
Lineage: Bacteria; Bacillati; Bacillota; Bacilli
Description: tRNA-Tyr
Rfam family: tRNA
About the family: Transfer RNA (tRNA) molecules are approximately 80 nucleotides in length.
Source: RNAcentral